RNAcentral lists this ribosomal RNA (301 nucleotides) under uncultured bacterium. Its description in RNAcentral is "partial 16S ribosomal RNA". It matches the Rfam family "Bacterial small subunit ribosomal RNA", at positions 509 to 807 of the family's 1533-position model. The record is from RNAcentral.
CAGUAGCCGCGGUAAUACGGAGGGUGCAAGCGUUACUCGGAAUUACUGGGCGUAAAGCGUGCGUAGGUGGUGGUUUAAGUCCGUUGUGAAAGCCCUGGGCUCAACCUGGGAAUUGCAGUGGAUACUGGGUCACUAGAGUGUGGUAGAGGAUAGUGGAAUUUCCGGUAUAGCAGUGAAAUGCGUAGAGAUCGGAAGGAACAUCUGUGGCGAAGGCGACUAUCUGGGCCAACACUGACACUGAGGCACGAAAGCGUGGGGAGCAAACAGGAUUAGAGACCCGCGUAGUCCCUGUCUCUUAUAC